RNA transcript from Pongo pygmaeus (Bornean orangutan), 6881 nucleotides. It is a transcript of the gene named collagen type IV alpha 5 chain, with no coding region annotated. The record is from RefSeq and is a predicted model, not a curated record. The transcript is spliced from 43 exons. Lineage: Eukaryota; Metazoa; Chordata; Mammalia; Primates; Hominidae.
UUGCAGGGGGAAGAGAGGGAGGAAAGUAGAUCUGUAGGAAUUGAGUGAAGAAAAGUUUGCAAGUCUGGACAGAAGGGAAAAGUUCUCCUGAGAGACCGGCUUUGGGGAGGGGAGAGGGGGAAGGAAGAGUAGCUCCUUCUUCUUCUUCUUCUUUUUUUUUUCUUCCACUCUUAAAAAGCUUCUUUCUCUUCACCCAAGCCUCACUGUCCCUCUCCGGCUCUAGCUCUCUCCAUAUAAACCCUCAAGAUUAUGUCAAUUGGUUAGAGCCAGCCGGGACUUUCGUGCGGGUGCUGAAGGAGCUGCGGGAGCUGGAGAAGAAUGAAACUGCGUGGAGUCAGCCUGGCUGCCGGCUUGUUCUUACUGGCCCUGAGUCUUUGGGGGCAGCCUGCAGAGGCUGCGGCUUGCUAUGGGUGUUCUCCAGGAUCAAAGUGUGACUGCAGUGGCAUAAAAGGGGAAAAGGGAGAGACAGGGUUUCCAGGUUUGGAAGGACAUCGAGGAUUGCCUGGAUUUCCAGGUCCAGAAGGGCCUCCAGGGCCUCGGGGACAAAAGGGUGAUGAUGGAAUUCCAGGGCCACCAGGACCAAAAGGAAUCAGAGGUCCUCCUGGGCUUCCUGGAUUUCCAGGGACACCAGGUCUUCCUGGAAUGCCAGGCCAUGAUGGGGCCCCAGGACCUCAAGGUAUUCCCGGAUGCAAUGGAACCAAGGGAGAACGUGGAUUUCCAGGCAGUCCCGGUUUUCCUGGUUUACAGGGUCCUCCAGGACCCCCUGGUAUCCCAGGUAUGAAGGGUGAACCAGGUAGUAUAAUUAUGUCAUCACUGCCAGGACCAAAGGGUAAUCCAGGAUAUCCAGGUCCUCCUGGAAUACAAGGCCUACCUGGUCCCACUGGUAUACCAGGGCCAAUUGGUCCCCCAGGACCACCAGGUUUGAUGGGCCCUCCUGGUCCACCAGGACUUCCAGGACCUAAGGGGAAUAUGGGCUUAAAUUUCCAGGGACCCAAAGGUGAAAAAGGUGAGCAAGGUCUUCAGGGCCCACCUGGGCCACCUGGGCAGAUCAGUGAACAGAAAAGACCAAUUGAUGUAGAGUUUCAGAAAGGAGAUCAGGGACUUCCUGGUGACCGAGGGCCUCCUGGACCUCCAGGGAUACGUGGUCCUCCAGGUCCCCCAGGUGGUGAGAAAGGUGAGAAGGGUGAUCAAGGAGAGCCAGGCAAAAGAGGUAAACCAGGCAAAGAUGGAGAAAAUGGCCAACCAGGAAUUCCUGGUUUGCCUGGUGAUCCUGGUUACCCUGGUGAACCUGGAAGGGAUGGUGAAAAGGGCCAAAAAGGUGACACUGGCCCACCUGGACCUCCUGGACUUGUAAUUCCUAGACCUGGGACUGGUAUAACUAUAGGAGAAAAGGGAAACAUUGGGUUGCCUGGCUUGCCUGGAGAAAAAGGAGAGCGAGGAUUUCCUGGAAUACAGGGUCCACCUGGCCUUCCUGGACCUCCAGGGGCUGCAGUUAUGGGUCCUCCUGGCCCUCCUGGAUUUCCUGGAGAAAGGGGUCAGAAAGGUGAUGAAGGACCACCUGGAAUUUCCAUUCCUGGACCUCCUGGACUUGAUGGACAGCCUGGGGCUCCUGGGCUUCCAGGGCCUCCUGGCCCUCCUGGCCCUCACAUCCCUCCUAGUGAUGAGAUAUGUGAACCAGGCCCUCCAGGCCCCCCAGGAUCUCCAGGUGAUAAAGGACUCCAAGGAGAACAAGGAGUGAAAGGUGACAAAGGUGACACUUGCUUCAACUGCAUUGGAACUGGUAUUUCAGGGCCUCCAGGUCAACCUGGUUUGCCAGGUCUCCCAGGUCCUCCAGGAUCUCUUGGUUUCCCUGGACAGAAAGGUGAAAAAGGACAAGCUGGUGCAACUGGUCCCAAAGGAUUACCAGGCAUUCCAGGAGCUCCAGGUGCUCCAGGCUUUCCUGGAUCUAAAGGUGAACCUGGUGAUAUCCUCACUUUUCCAGGAAUGAAGGGUGACAAAGGAGAGUUGGGUUCCCCUGGAGCUCCAGGGCUUCCUGGUUUACCUGGUACUCCUGGACAGGAUGGAUUGCCAGGGCUUCCUGGCCCGAAAGGAGAGCCUGGUGGAAUUACUUUUAAGGGUGAAAGAGGUCCCCCUGGGAACCCAGGUUUACCAGGCCUCCCAGGGAAUAUAGGGCCUAUGGGUCCCCCUGGUUUCGGCCCUCCAGGCCCAGUAGGUGAAAAAGGCAUACAAGGUGUGGCAGGAAAUCCAGGCCAGCCAGGAAUACCAGGUCCUAAAGGGGAUCCAGGUCAGACUAUAACCCAGCCAGGGAAGCCUGGCUUGCCUGGUAACCCAGGCAGAGAUGGUGAAGUAGGUCUUCCAGGUGACCCUGGACUCCCAGGGCAACCAGGCUUGCCAGGGAUACCUGGUAGCAAAGGAGAACCAGGUAUCCCUGGAAUUGGGCUUCCUGGACCACCUGGUCCCAAAGGCUUUCCUGGAAUUCCAGGACCUCCAGGAGCACCUGGGACACCUGGAAGAAUUGGUCUAGAAGGCCCUCCUGGGCCACCCGGCUUUCCAGGACCAAAGGGUGAACCAGGAUUUGCAUUACCUGGGCCACCUGGGCCACCAGGACUUCCAGGUUUCAAAGGAACACUUGGUCCAAAAGGUGAUCGUGGUUUCCCAGGACCUCCAGGUCCUCCAGGACGCACUGGCUUAGAUGGGCUCCCUGGACCAAAAGGUGAUGUUGGACCAAAUGGACAACCUGGACCAAUGGGACCUCCUGGGCUGCCAGGAAUAGGUGUUCAGGGACCACCAGGACCACCAGGGAUUCCUGGGCCAAUAGGUCAACCUGGUUUACAUGGAAUACCAGGAGAGAAGGGGGAUCCAGGACCUCCUGGACUUGAUGUUCCAGGUCCCCCAGGUGAAAGAGGCAGUCCAGGGAUCCCCGGAGCACCUGGUCCUAUAGGACCUCCAGGAUCACCAGGGCUUCCAGGAAAAGCAGGUGCCUCUGGAUUUCCAGGUACCAAAGGUGAAAUGGGUAUGAUGGGACCUCCAGGCCCACCAGGACCUUUGGGAAUUCCUGGCAGGAGUGGUGUACCUGGUCUUAAAGGUGAUGAUGGCUUGCAGGGUCAGCCAGGACUUCCUGGCCCUGCAGGAGAAAAAGGUAGUAAAGGAGAGCCUGGCCUUCCAGGCCCUCCUGGACCAAUGGAUCCAAAUCUUCUGGGCUCAAAAGGAGAGAAGGGGGAACCUGGCUUACCAGGUAUACCUGGAGUUUCAGGGCCGAAAGGUUAUCAGGGUUUGCCUGGAGACCCAGGGCAACCUGGACUGAGUGGACAACCUGGAUUACCAGGACCACCAGGUCCCAAAGGUAACCCUGGUCUCCCUGGACAGCCAGGUCUUACAGGACCUCCUGGACUUAAAGGAGCCAUCGGUGAUAUGGGUUUUCCAGGGCCUCAGGGUGUGGAAGGGCCUCCUGGACCUUCUGGAGUUCCUGGACAACCUGGCUCCCCAGGAUUACCUGGACAGAAAGGCGACAAAGGUGAUCCUGGUAUUUCAAGCAUUGGUCUUCCAGGUCUUCCUGGUCCAAAGGGUGAGCCUGGUCUGCCUGGAUACCCAGGGAACCCUGGUAUCAAAGGUUCUGUGGGAGAUCCUGGUUUGCCCGGAUUACCAGGAACCCCUGGAGCAAAAGGACAACCAGGCCUUCCUGGAUUCCCAGGAACCCCAGGCCCUCCUGGACCAAAAGGUAUUAGUGGCCCUCCUGGGAACCCUGGCCUUCCAGGAGAACCUGGUCCUGUAGGUGGUGGGGGUCGUCCUGGGCAACCAGGGCCUCCAGGCGAAAAAGGCAAACCUGGUCAAGAUGGUAUUCCUGGACCAGCUGGACAGAAGGGUGAACCAGGUCAACCAGGCUUUGGAAACCCAGGACCCCCUGGACUUCCAGGACUUUCUGGCCAAAAGGGUGAUGGAGGAUUACCUGGGAUUCCAGGAAAUCCUGGCCUUCCAGGUCCAAAGGGCGAACCAGGCUUUCACGGUUUCCCUGGUGUGCAGGGUCCCCCGGGCCCUCCUGGUUCUCCGGGUCCAGCUCUGGAAGGACCUAAAGGCAACCCUGGGCCCCAAGGUCCUCCUGGGAGACCAGGGAGCAGACUGUUGGCUGCAUCCACUUUCUUGUUUUCUGUUACCUCAAAAGCUCCGUCAACACCUCCAUCAACCAGAUUGCUUCUUGUGUUCUUCUUAAAUGAUGUCAACGAAAAGAGUAAGACAGUGCAUACUAUUUAACUAUCACUAAGAUAAAGCAAAGACUAAGGGGUUACUUUGAAGUAAUGUUGAGUCCCACCUUAUCUGACCUACAUAGAAUUUUGCCGCUUUGAUUACUGCUAAACUCUACUGUUAGCUAGGAGAUUUCUAUCUCCUGAGUUACUAUAAUAUAUUCAAAGAAGAAAAAGAAAAGUAGCCACAUUCCUUUAAAAGAAAUUUAACAAUUUCUUAUUUACCAAAUGUACUCUAAAUUGCAUAGUUGUUGGAACUUGGUCUCUGUGAUGUUUUCUUCUUUGCAAGACUACAACCUUAAGUGGAAACUGAAUUUAAGAUAUACCAGUCAAUUCAUCAGUAUACCUUUAGUAAUUACUACUUAUGGACAAUAUUUUAGGUUUUUGUUUUGUUUCCUUUUUCAGUUUAACUUUGGUACAUAGUUGAAAAAUAAUGGAUUGUGAGCCUCAUACAAAAAAAAUUGACUUGGCAUAUAGCUCAUUAAAAUGUUACCUUUUAAAAUAGUGUCUUAGAAGUUUUGCUAUGAUAUGAUCCACAGUUUUCCUUGCUAAUUACUCAGGCUGAAAUGUCAUAUUUCAAUGAAAUAUUUUUCUGAGAGUUCUUGUUAUUGGUCCCUCUAUAUCAAACACACAUAUAAAAUGUCUUUACUCAAACCCUGAAUUGUCUUAGGUGGGAAUUCUAAUUUAUUUAACUAAUUUUGUGGCCAGACUCUGCUCUAAGUAUUGAGUUAAUUUGCUGUCUGUGAUUUAGAAACAAUUUAAACAAACAGAAGCCAAUAUUUAGCUUUCUGAAUUUCAAAGUAUCAAAUGCUUUGAAAGUUUUAUUAGGAGAUAAUGAUAAUGUUUUCUAUUUAUAUGACAUGCCACAAUUUACAUCAUAUAAUGUACUUUUAUUGUAAGCGUCUUAAGGGCAGAGUUUGAGUCUUGCUCAUCUUUGUGUUUCCUGUAGCACCUUGCACAUGGCAGACAUUAGGCCAGUAUUUUAAAACUUGAAUUUGAUCUUUAAAAUAUUCCUAUGAGGGAGGCUAGGGCAGAUACCACUAUUCCCAUUAUACGGGUAAAAAACCAUACUCAGAAAGAUUGAAUUGCCCAAAGUCCUAUAGUUAUUAAGUAGCAGAGUCAAAAAUAGAUCCUAGGUCUUCUAACUCCUAGGAUUCAUUGCUCUAGCACAAUUUAUUCUCUCCGCUAACAUUUGGUGCUUAUAAAUCAUAGCAAGACUUGUAAGAAAAGAAAAUUGUGUUUAUAGUCAAUUAACACUAACCAAGGGUGCUCUAUUUGUAGGCUUUUAAUCUUUUUAUUUAAUGAUCCUUCUUUUAAUAGUGAAUAGCCUGUCUUAAUAUGUGCAUUGAAUAAUAAUAGAGUAAAUAUGAUAUUUUCUGUGGUUUGGGGUGGGAUAUUGCAUGCCAAAACAUUUUCAAGUACCCUUUCACUGAUAGUCUUCAUAUCUUGAAAAAGUUGAAUCUUUAUUUUUGUGUUCAGUGGUGUACAAAUAUAUAUUGGCUUUUUCUCCUUAAGUAACUUAUUGCAAGUACUAUAAUAAUAAUAUAAUAAUAAUAAUAAUAGGCCAGGCAUGGUGGCUCACGCCUGUAAUCCCAGCACUUUGGGAGGCCGAGGUGGGUGGAUCACCUGAGGUCAGGAAUUCAAGACCAGCCUGGCCAACAUGGUAAGACCCCGUUUCUACUAAAAAUACGAAAAUUAGCUGGGUGUGGUGCUGGGUGCCUGUAAUCACAGCUGCUCGGGAGGCUGAGCCAGGAGAAUCUCUAGAACCCAGAAGGUGGAGGUUGCAGUGAGCUGAGAUCACACCAUUGCACUCCAGCCUGGGCGACAGAGUGAGACUCUGUCCAAAUAAUAAUAAUAAUAAUAAUUCAAUAAAUAGUAAUAGGAAAGCCUCCUGGUGAAUUAUGAAAAAAAUCAGAAUGUGGCUUCAUGAAAUGCUUUUCAAAUACAAACAAAAGUACAGUUGGUAAUGGCCAUGGUAUAUUCAUGAUUUGAUUUUUCUAUUCCGUCACCCAUGAUCUUUAUAUUUAUUGCCAAUGAGGCCUUCAAAGUCAACUGUAUCUUCUUGAAGUAGUCUGAGCAUAUCAAGAAAUUGGCACCUGGUGUUUUUAUUAAAAGAUAACACAAGCCAAGGUAAACUUCAACAUCAAUCCAAAAAUACCCCUUUGCUAAAGGAAUUUGAAGGCUGUUGGUGAAAUGGUACUCUCUAGCCAACUUUAAUGUUUUGAAAAGCUAAUUUUUGGAAAGCCACAGUAGCAGUGUUAACAUGAUGUCUUCAGUAGAGUUUUCUAUUUUCUGGAUUAAUGAAGACCAACAGCUUAUCCUUUAGAAUAAGCUCUAUUUGAAAAAGUUUGGCUCUCUAUACUUCUGUAUGGUUCUGUUUGCAUACUGUUUAUGCUGCAAGUAUAAGAAAUGCUGGCAAAGAACAUUAUUGUUUUAACUUGUACUAUAAUGUGAACCACUUCUAACUCAUAAUCUUAUUUUGUACUGUGUGAUGUCUGAUACUGCUAACAUCGAUCUUUGGGCUUUGGUGAACUCUGAUCUUCCCAGGUUUUCAAGGUCUACCAGGUCCAGAAGGUUCUCCGGGUCUCCCUGGAAAUGGAGCUAUUAAAGGAGAGAAGGGAAAUCCAGGCCAACCUGGGCUAC